Molecule: long non-coding RNA, 613 nt
Filed under: Manihot esculenta (cassava)
Lineage: Eukaryota; Viridiplantae; Streptophyta; Magnoliopsida; Malpighiales; Euphorbiaceae
Description: long non-coding RNA (MESC_LNC001221)
Source: RNAcentral
CUGGAAUAAAAACGGCCGGCGAGGAUCUCAAAAAGACCUCCCGGAGCAAAAACGGCCAGGAUCUCGUAAGAUCUCCUGGAGCAAAAAUGGCCGGUGAGGAUCUCAAAAAGACCUCCCGGAGCAAAAAUGGCCAGGAUCUUGUAAGAUCUCCUGGAGCAAAAACGGCCGGCGAGGAUCUCAAAAAGACCUCCCGGAGCAAAAACGGCCAGGAUCUUAUAAGAUCUCUUGGAGCAAAAAUGGCCGGUGAGGAUCUCAAAAACACCUCUCGGAGCAAAAACGGCCGGCGAGGAUCUCAAAAAGACCUCCCGGAGCAACAAAAACCGGGGUCCCCAGAGAUAUUCCGGUAACACAUGCUCAUAGCAAACAGAGGUACACAGCGACCAUACGCAAAAACAAAAGUCCGACCUCACAUAAAAGAUUGGGGCACGGGGUCAUAAAUAAAAAGCUAAAACUCCGACCUCCCAAAGGAGCUCGAGUCAUAAGACUUUGAUCUCGACUGCUAAGAGUAUCAAAGCGUCAUGCUGACCUCAAAAGGAAUGCUGAAACAAACAUAAAAAGACUUCAAAUUCGACCUCCCGAAAGAGCUCGGAUCAACAAAGCCAAUAAGGCCCCA